Molecule: ribosomal RNA, 407 nt
Filed under: bacterium enrichment culture clone ALO1_GLFRUDD03GEB2I
Lineage: Bacteria
Description: bacterial SSU rRNA
Rfam family: Bacterial small subunit ribosomal RNA
Source: RNAcentral
GAGUUUGAUCCUGGCUCAGAUUGAACGCUGGCGGCAUGCCUUACACAUGCAAGUCGAACGGCAGCACGGGAGCUUGCUCCUGGUGGCGAGUGGCGAACGGGUGAGUAAUGCAUCGGAACGUAUCCUGGAGUGGGGGAUAACGUAGCGAAAGUUACGCUAAUACCGCAUAUUCUGUGAGCAGGAAAGCGGGGGACCUUCGGGCCUCGCGCUCUUGGAGCGGCCGAUGUCGGAUUAGCUAGUUGGUGAGGUAAAGGCUCACCAAGGCGACGAUCCGUAGCAGGUCUGAGAGGAUGAUCUGCCACACUGGAACUGAGACACGGUCCAGACUCCUACGGGAGCAGCAGUGGGAAUUUGGACAAUGGGGGCAACCCUGAUCCAGCCAUGCCGCGUGAGUGAAGAAGGCCUGG